AGGCUCUGUGGUGUAAUAGCAUGUUGGAUUGCAAAUUCAAAGGAGCAGCUUCAAUCCUGCCGGGGCUUC
Molecule: transfer RNA, 69 nt
Filed under: Tonatia saurophila (stripe-headed round-eared bat)
Lineage: Eukaryota; Metazoa; Chordata; Mammalia; Chiroptera; Phyllostomidae
Description: transfer RNA-Cys
Rfam family: tRNA
About the family: Transfer RNA (tRNA) molecules are approximately 80 nucleotides in length. Their secondary structure includes four short double-helical elements and three loops (D, anti-codon, and T loops).
Source: RNAcentral